UAAGAGAGUUUGAUCCUGGCUCAGGGUGAACGCUAGUAAUAUGCUUUACACAUGCGAGUUGUGCGAUUUUUUGUCGCAGCGAACGGGUGAGGAAUACGCAAAACAAUUUACCUUUUAAUUUAAGAUAAAUUAUAUCUAUAAUAAAUUUUGUUUGUUUAUAGAGUGAAACUAAUUUGUUAGUUUGUAAUAAUAUUAAAUAUAUAAAGAUAGUUUAACAAUCGUUAAAAGAUAAGUUUGUGUAAGAUUAGGUAGUUGGUAGAAAUAAUAGUUUACCAAGCCUUUGAUCUUUAGUUGGUCUGAGAGGACGUACAACCACACUGGAACUGAGACAAGGUCCAGGCUAAUUUUUUGGCCAGCAGUGAGGAAUAUUGGACAAUGAACGAAAGUUUGAUCCAGCAAUAUUACAUGAAUGAUUGACGGCUAAUUUUUGGUUGUAAAUUUCUUUCGUUAAAAAUGAUAAUGACAUUAUUUAAAGAAGUUUAAGUCCCGGCUAAUCUCGUGCCAGCAGCCGCGGUAAUACGGGAGGGGCAAGCGUUACCCAAAAUUACUGGGCGUAAAGAGUCCGUAGAUUGUAUAAUAAGUUAUAUGUUAAAUUUUAAAGCUCAACUUUAAAAAAACAUACAAUACUGUUUUACUUGAGUUUUAUACAGAAGAGUAGAAUUUCAUGUUAAGGAGUAAAUUCCAAGAAUACCUGAAGGAAUAUCAUUAGCGAAAGCGACUCUUUAGUACAAACUGACGUUGAGGGACGAAAGUGUAGGUAGCAAACAGGAUUAGAUACCCUGGUAGUCUACACUGUAAAUUCUGAAUGCUGUAAUUUAAAAUUUAAAUUUUAGAUUUUUUAAGCUAACGCCAUAAGCAUUCCGCCUGAGGAGUAUGAUCGCAAGAUUGGAACUCAAAGGAAUUGACGGGAGCCUACAACGAGUGGUGGAGCAUGUGGUUUAAUGCGAUAAUCCGCGCAAAACCUUACCAACCUUUGAUAUAUUGAAAAACAAUUUAAACUAUUAAAAAUUUUGUUAACAUUGAUAUUAAAAUUGAUAAAUUUUCUUUACAGGUGUUGCACGACUGUCGUCAGUUCGUGUCGUGAGAUGUUUGGUUUAUUCCUUUAAACGAACGUAACUCUUAUUUUUAAAAAUUCACUUUUAAUUUUUAUUAAAAAUUUUGCUUUAAAAAGACCGAAUGUAUACGUAAAAAAGGAAGGUGAGAACUAAGUCAAGUCACUGUGGCCCUUAUAGGUUGGGCUACACACGUGCUACAAUGGGAAUGACAAAAAGUAACAAAAAUGAAAGUAUUUAGUUAAUCUUUAAAAGUUUUCUUAGUUCGAAUUGUAAACUGCAACUCGUUUACAUGAAGAUGGAAUCACAAGUAAUCGCAAAUCAGAACGUUGCGGUGAAUACGUACCUUGGCUUUGUACACACCGCCCGUCACAUGCAGAAAGUUAAUUUUACUUGAAAAUUACAUUUUUAUUUUUGUUUAAUAGAAAAUAAUAAAGUUGUAGUUCAUUGAAAAGUUAACAAUUUGGAUGAAGUCGUAACAAGGUAGCUGUACGGGAACGUGUAGCUGGAACAUU
RNAcentral lists this ribosomal RNA (1567 nucleotides) under Conticribra weissflogii. RNAcentral's name for it is "Bacterial small subunit ribosomal RNA". It matches the Rfam family "Bacterial small subunit ribosomal RNA". Lineage: Eukaryota; Bacillariophyta; Thalassiosirophyceae; Thalassiosirales; Thalassiosiraceae. The record is from RNAcentral.